RNAcentral lists this ribosomal RNA (496 nucleotides) under uncultured bacterium. RNAcentral describes it as "partial 16S ribosomal RNA". It matches the Rfam family "Bacterial small subunit ribosomal RNA", at positions 28 to 506 of the family's 1533-position model. The record is from RNAcentral.
GAUGAACGCUGGCGGCGUGCCUAAUACAUGCAAGUCGAGCGAACGGACGAGAAGCUUGCUCCUCUGCUGUUAGCGGCGGACGGGUGAGUAACACGUGGAUAACCUACCUCUUAUACUGGGAUAACUUCGGGAAACCGUAGCUAAUACCAGAUAAUAUUUUGAACCGCAUGGUUCAAAAGUGAAUGACGGUCUUGCUGUCACUUAUAGAUGGAUCCGCGCUGCAUUAGCUAGUUGGUAAGGUAACGGCUUACCAAGGCAACGAUGCAUAGCCGACCUGAGAGGGUGAUCGGCCCCACUGGAACGGAGACACGGUCCAGACCCCUACGGGAGGCAGCAGGAGGAAAUCUGGCGCAAGGGGCGAAAGCCUGACGGAGCAACGCCGCGUGGGUGAUGAAGGUCUUCGGUUCGUAAAACUCUGUUAUUAGGAAAAAACACAUGUGUAAGUAACUGUGCACAUCUGGACGGUACCUAAGCAGAAAGCCACGGCUAACUACGG